Molecule: long non-coding RNA, 1655 nt
Filed under: Malus domestica (apple)
Lineage: Eukaryota; Viridiplantae; Streptophyta; Magnoliopsida; Rosales; Rosaceae
Description: long non-coding RNA (MDOM_LNC006219)
Source: RNAcentral
CCACCCCCUUACCCAUCUCUUCCUUCCCGUCCGUCCGUCCCCACCCCCUUACCCAUCUCUCCCACUCUUCUUCUUCCUCCACACCAACCCCAACACUCCCUGACACCCUUUUUUCAAUUCCCUCAUUCCCUCUCCCUCUCCCUCUCCCUCUCCCUCUAUAGGGUUUGAACUUUGAAUUCCACCCCUCUCUCGCCUCUUCCCUCGCCACCCUCUGCCUCCACACAUCUCCUUCCCCCAAAACCCAUAUCCCCCUCCACCUCUCCCACCUCAAAGCCCCCACCUUUAAUCACUUAUCUGAUUUUUUUUCACUAGUUUUCUUAGAAACCCCUGCAACCCACUACCUGCAAAACCACAACCCAUAGCCCACAAGCCAAAUACCUGCAAUCGUCGCCCAAGGAGGUCGCGAGCUUAUCGUCGACGGGAAGGGCAAAGGAAGGCAUGUGGGUCGUCGCGGGGGGGGGGGGAACAGACGGGUUUGGUUUCUUCUGAUUCUGGUUUUUUUUUGUUUUUUUUUAAAUAGGGUUAAUAUUAUAAUAUUGUUAAUGUAUAAAAAUUAUUUUUUUUGUCAUGUGGCAGCCACGUCAGCAUUUAACAGACCAUUGGAUGGAAAAUCUAACGGAGGUGUUAUUUUGAAAUAAAAUAGUACGUGAUGUAUGAAAGUGAAAUGUUUUAAAGAUGUUGUAUGAGAUUGUAAUAAACCCUUAAACCUGAGGGGUUUCUAUGUAAUUUACCCUUGAUUUUAUUACUGUUUUAAAAGUCUCCGUCUAGUGGUGCUUAGGUUCUGCUUAGGCCUUAGGUAGAUGAUUACUGCCAUAAUUAAUCCUUAAGCGUUUAGACUAUUUAGGUGCCCACCCACCUAGACUGCUUAGGUUGCGACUCUCAUUUAAACAAAAAACAAAUAAUUUUCAUUUUGUAUUUUACUUUUUCAAUAAAUUGUAAGAGAUUUGUUAGAUACAUGGAUGAACACUCAUUAUAUGUUGUUUCCCCAUGUUUUCAAUAUAAUCUAGUACUCUAUAAUUUAUAUAUCAUUAUAUUUCGUAGUUUAUGUAUCCCAGUACAAUUUGUAUUUUAUAAAGUAUAAACAGACAUUUAUUUAUAUGUUAUAUAAUAAAUUUAAUUAAAUUAAAAAAAAAGGCCUAAGCCUAUGCCUAGGUCCCGCUUAGACGCCUAUGUGCUAACACUUGCUCGCCGUCUGGCUAGCGCUUAGGGCCUUUUAAAACCUUACUUUUUCUUAUAUUAUAUAGGUAAAUCAGAUUCACUAUUCACAUUCGCUUUGAAAAGAGAUUUAUAGAUAAAGAAAACGUAAAAAACAAAAAUGAGUGAUUAAAGAUAACUUACUUGAAUGAGGAUUUGGCUUGGGGUAUAAAAGGCCGGACAUGUUGACUUAUCCCAGAUUCAUGAGAUUCACGUUUACCUUAGAGGUUUAUAGAUAAAGAGAAAGUAAAAAGGAAAGAACAGUGAUUAAAGAUUGUAACUUUCUCAGCACCAUCCAGACUACUCUACGAGACAUCGCACACGUCAUAAUAUCAGAAUUUAUAGUGUUAGCUGUUUACGCACACAAAUGAUAGGCAACCAUCGACUGUUACAAAACUUAUAAAAGUCUCACACUAAUCAAUCAUUAAAAAAUUAUUUCGCAUUUGCGCGACUGAUUCUAA